Molecule: ribosomal RNA, 339 nt
Filed under: Rhizomucor sp. BAB-3305
Lineage: Eukaryota; Fungi; Mucoromycota; Mucoromycetes; Mucorales; Lichtheimiaceae
Description: eukaryotic LSU rRNA
Rfam family: 5.8S ribosomal RNA (bases 1-97)
Source: RNAcentral
GAUACUUGGUGUGAAUUGCAUAUUCAGUGAAUCAUCGAGUCUUUGAACGCAUCUUGCGCUCAAUGGUAUUCCAUUGAGCACGCCUGUUUCAGUAUCAACAACAACCCACAUCCACAAUUUUGUUGUGAAUGGAAAUGAGAAUUUCGGACUUGCGCUGAAUUCUUUAAAAUUAUUAGGCCUGAACUAUUGUUCUUUUAGCCUGAACCUUUUUUUAAUAUAAAGGAAUGGUCUAGUUAUUAAGACUAUCUUGGGGGCCUCCCAAAUAAAUCAUUUUUUAAACUUGAUCUGAAAUCAGGUGGGAUUACCCGCUGAACUUAAGCAUAUCAAUAAGCGGAGGAA